This 439-nucleotide ribosomal RNA is filed under the name Shigella flexneri. RNAcentral's name for it is "bacterial SSU rRNA". It matches the Rfam family "Bacterial small subunit ribosomal RNA", at positions 1 to 436 of the family's 1533-position model. RNAcentral also lists the same sequence under 1 other name. The record is from RNAcentral. Lineage: Bacteria; Pseudomonadati; Pseudomonadota; Gammaproteobacteria; Enterobacterales; Enterobacteriaceae.
AAAUUGAAGAGUUUGAUCAUGGCUCAGAUUGAACGCUGGCGGCAGGCCUAACACAUGCAAGUCGAACGGUAACAGGAAACAGCUUGCUGUUUCGCUGACGAGUGGCGGACGGGUGAGUAAUGUCUGGGAAACUGCCUGAUGGAGGGGGAUAACUACUGGAAACGGUAGCUAAUACCGCAUAAUGUCGCAAGACUAAAGAGGGGGACCUUCGGGCCUCUUGCCAUCGGAUGUGCCCAGAUGGGAUUAGCUAGUAGGUGGGGUAACGGCUCACCUAGGCGACGAUCCCUAGCUGGUCUGAGAGGAUGACCAGCCACACUGGAACUGAGACACGGUCCAGACUCCUACGGGAGGCAGCAGUGGGGAAUAUUGCACAAUGGGCGCAAGCCUGAUGCAGCCAUGCCGCGUGUAUGAAGAAGGCCUUCGGGUUGUAAAGUACUUU